This is a non-coding RNA of Monodelphis domestica (gray short-tailed opossum), 8189 nucleotides long. The record is from RefSeq and is a predicted model, not a curated record. Lineage: Eukaryota; Metazoa; Chordata; Mammalia; Didelphimorphia; Didelphidae.
GUGUACCUGUUACCCCUCCCUCUUCCUACUACAAAAGAGAAUUCUUAGAGAGAACACUAAAAAAGUUCUUUUAUACUAAUUUUAAAUAGACUUUAAGAUAGGAUAGGAUAGUUUUUCAUCACAAUAGUGACAUGUAUAUCAAUAAAGCUUCUAUGCAGCAAAGUUAAUGAGAACCUUACACUUAUUUGAGGUAAAUAUUCUAACAAUUGCUAGGUUAUGUAAACAUGCAAGCAACCUGUUUCCAAAUUAUGACAAUUGUAGUAUUAUUGAUAAUGGGUAGACUUUUUGUUCCUAAAAAAUAAUAAUAACUACAUCCAUUAUAUCUUGCUUUUAUUGAUUUUACUGCUUAGACUAUGCAUGUAUAUUUUUAAACAAAAUCCUUUCCCUUGCACUACUGAGAUUCUGAUUGUUCUACAAUUAAAGUUACAAACAUAAUUUAGUUAUUUAUAAGGAAAGAUAAUCAAAAUUUUUAAAUAAAAGGUUAAGACCUCAAGAAUUUUUAUAUUUCCUGAAGUAAAAGAAUUUAUUUCACAAUGUGGUAGUUCCACCAAAAUUUUUCUUAAUAAAAGGACAUAUUCAAAGCAACAUGGACCACAUAGAUCAGUGAGUCCAGACAAAAAUAAGAUCCAUGAAGAUGAAAAGAAAAUUCAGUUAAAAUUUCAUCAACAUUAAUAAUUGUUAUUUGGAAUACAUGUUAAAUCCUGCCCAUCUGUGUAACAUUGGAUAACUUUUCUAAUCAAAUUUUUACUUCUAUUCAUACUACUGAAGCAGUAUGCUCUCUGCAUCUCUCAAACCUUCAAAACAGAUAAUGGCCCAAUACAUACAUCCAAAGCUCUUGCUAAUUUCAAAUUAAUUAAAAAAAAAGACAAAAAGUCAAUUGGAAAAGUAUUAUUAUUAAUUAUUGGUAGUUCCAGCCCUCUUUUGGGGGCAAGGAUCUAUUUGUGUUUCCCCCCAGGUACACUCAUACACACUUGGAUUCCAGAAGAAUUCACCCGUUCCUGCCAUGACUCCCAUCCCAACAACAAGCCUGGGAGAAUGCAGAUACAGAGAUUGUGCUAAAACAAGAUGUUCUACCAACUUGGGGACAAAUUGGGACACUUGCAGCCCAAGCAAAACAAAGAAUGGACAAGCAACAAUUUAUACCUCCUGAUUGUACUAAUGCCUUAAUUCUUGCCAUGCUAGCCAUUUCAUCUGUACUACCAGGUAUUUCUGCCAUUGAAAGCCCCUUAUCUCCCAUUACUAAUUUUUCUUUGUGGAAAUUCAUUGCUUCUCUCUCCCCCCUCUAUAUUACUGUGCCCUAGUGACAAGAAAAGUUCCAAACCCAUUCAAGCCUAUGUAUUGAUUGUACAAUGUGUUUCCCCCACAACUUAUAGAAAUUCUUGCUAUGUAUUUUAACAAAUUGUCUUAAUCCCUCCAUUCCUGCUACCAUUGUAUUUGUUGUUAAAUAACCACCUUUUAUUAUGAUUCCUGUUAAUAUGACUAUUGACUGGUAUGAUGGUCCAGAACAUUUAUGCCCUACAAUUGAUUUCCCACAGUUUAAACCAUCCUAAACCCCUUCAUUACACCCUUUAUUUUGGGCAUCACUGCACUCAUUGCACAAGGAGUCCACACAAUGCAGACAAAUCAUGGAUAUCUAUCACUCUGGCACCUCCCUUUAUUCAGCCUCAUCCAUUGCUAAUUCAUUUUAUGAUACCAUCUCUUCCCUUAUCUUCAACAGUGAUUUGACCCACACCUUUAUUGCUUGUGGAUUUGCUCUUGUCUUAUUUUUUCUUAUUCUUUUUUGUUUUCCAGUCCUCAUCCGAUACCUAGGGUCCACAUUUGGCAAGUCUAAAUUGAACUGAAGUCUCUUCAGCUCAAAAAAAAAAAAAAGAAAGGGGGAUGUGCUGGUGGCCAUCAGUCCAUGAUGCCUUGACAGAGUCAUGCAUCGUAGCCGGGGAGACCACAGAGUGGUCCUUGGCGAGAUGUGACUGCCCACUCUAUCCCCCUUGCAUGACUUCUUUCAUCAAUGACCCUUACCUAUGAAUUGACAUGAUUAUUAUUCUCCCUAUUCUCAAAAGAAAUAAUGCAAGAGCAAAACACCUGUACCCUAAUUCUCCUAACCAUCACCAAAAGACCAGACCCUUAAACCCAAUCCCAAAAAGACUAUCAUGAGUUAACUUUUACUUAGGUACAUAAUUCCCAGUGAAACUGCAGCUACAGUCCAAACCCAAAACUUUCUCAUGAAGCCAGCACACAAAUCAAUCAUAGAGGCCCAUAAAAUAGGUACAGGUACAGUAUAGGUACACUAAGCUUCAAUAUGCCUCAGUGACUCAAUUACAUAAAUCAAACUCAAACUCCCUAGUAAGCCACCUGUGACGAAAUCAUUUAUCUUGUGUGCAACCUUCAUUCUGUCUGUAAUCACAAUACAAAAAUAUAGAAUGUUAAUCAAGUGAUUUGUUAAAAGUUAAUGUAUCACUUUUCCAAUUAUCUCUCUUUGAUUUUGUGUAUCUGCAUGCCAAGAAUAUGGAUAUAAAAUAAAUCCCAAGCCUGGGAAUGUUGGAGCAGCUCAGAGAUGCAAAGCAGUCCCAUGGCCAUAAUGAUUAAGCUGUCUUCCAUUUGUUAUUUAUUUUAUGUUAUUUAUUUUGACUGAUUGUUGGCCACCUGCCGGGAACCCUGGAGUUGCGAGUGGGGCUGGACCCUGACCUCGGCACUUCACCAACCAGAAUUUUCCUGCCUAUUCUUUUUCUUUAAUAGACUGACCAAGUACAACAAGUCACAUUUUCAAAGUCCUUUAAGAUUGGCAAUAAGAUAAGCCUUCAAGGAAAGCAGGGAAAUAUAAGAAUACAUCAAGGACCUGUGAUUUCAUUAAUGUGGGUAGCCAUUCCACUUAACUCGUUCAUCUACCCCUUUACCUGUCAUGGGAAAAUUCACCACAUUUCAGUCAACUAGUUUGACUUUGGAAGAGCUCUGACUGAGGAUCUCCAACUUCUUCUGCUUUCCUUAAAACUACCACAUGGGAACCAGCAAAGUGAAUUCUCCUUUCACCCAAGGAGUCGGAAAAUCAACUCACUCUAAUCAAGGGAAAUUAUUUCAUUAACAAGGGGUUCCUGGUCAUAAUAUGAAGCCUUGCUGAAGAUUAAAAACUCCUCUCCCCAUAACCCAGUCCCCUCCUACAUAGGAAAAACAGCAUCCAGGUAAGAUGAAGAAAUGGGGACACAGAAGGGUAAAGUGACUUACUUAAAAGUCACACAAGAAGUAUCUGAAGUAGAAUUUGAACCUAUAUCUUCCUGUGAAAUUCCCUUAUUUUAUCAAUGAGGAAUCUGAAGUUUAGAGAGGGCAUAGAAGUCAAAAUUUCUCCUUUUUCCUCUUCUGUUCACUAGACAACUAGCUGGCAUAGUGAAUAGAACACUGGAUUUAUAGUCAGGAAGAUCCGAGUUCAAAUAUAUCCUAUAACACUUACUAGCUAUGUGAUCCUGGACAAGUCACUUAACCUUUGUUUUCUUGUUUUCUUAAUUGUAAAAUGAGGAUAAUAAUAACACCUCUUUCCCAGGGUUGUUGUGAGGCUCAGAUGACAUCUUACUUGUACAAUACCUGGAGUGUAAUAGAUGUAAUGUAAGUAUUUAUUUCUUCCCCUGUAACUAUUUCACUUAGGGACUAUUCAAGUAGUAAUACUUGUGUGGUUUUGAGUAAGUUAUUCCCUUCUUUGGACCUCAUUUUUCCCACCUAAAAUAUUGAAAAUUUGUGAAAUAGCUCUGUUUAGCUCUGAUUUUAUAUGCUCUCACAUUUAGUUACCUAAGGCACCUUCUAGCUCUAACAUUUUGCAUUAUAAGUUUCCUUUUGACUCUAAAAUUCUGUGUUCUAGGGUUUCUUUAAAUUCCAAUAUUCUGAAUUUUCAGGUUACUCCUAACAUAUAUUCUGUGCCCUGAGAUCUUAUCUACUUCUGAGGUUCUGUUCCAUGAUUUUUUUAAAUAUACCUUGCUUAGAAUUCUCAUCUUCUAGGCAUAUUAUAAAGUGCUUUUCCUAGUCCAAAACUUCCUACCUAAAUUACUGACAGUGGAAUUUGUUUCCCCUUCUCCCUACUAGCCUUCAUGAAAUUUUCUGGGUUUAAGUACAUACAAAUGAUUAAAAUUAGGGAUUGAAAAUAGUCAAUCAAAACAGAAGAUCCCUUCACAAGUGAUGGCUUCUUUGGUCCCUAUAACAGGAAAGCCCCAAAGAAUGUUUUGUCUUCUUUGGUAUAAUCCACAAGAGAGAUGUCACUGACAUUUACCAUCAGCUUAUCUCCCUCUUGCAUAGGAAAAACAGCACCCAGGUAAAUUGGAAUAAACCAAUUGCUGCCUAUCUCACAGAUGGACUUGGUCCCUGUUAAAAGCUGCGUUGGCUCAGGGUAUCUGUCAGUGACUCUGGUGAUGACCUGAGUUAUGUAAUCUGGCUUGGUGGAUCGAUCCUUCUGAUUAAUUUUACCACAUUCUGGUGUGCUGCCUCGGAAAGUGACUUGUGAAUACACAAAGUAGUCUCCUGACUCCGGAAUCACUAGGAACUUGUUGGUGUAGUUCAUUUGGUUUUUGACGAAAGCAGAACCAAGUUUAUGUUCCCACUGGAGAGCCGGCCAUGAAUCUUUCAUGGGAGUCAUAGGAUUCUGUCGAAUAGCUAGGAAGAAACACACAAAAAGUUAGCUUUGCUCACAUGGGAUCAGUAGACCCCUGUAAAAGAAAUAACAGUCACUAAGAAGGACAGAAAAUAUUCCUUUUAAGCAAUAUUUAUUCUUUUUCUUUAUUUGUUAUCUUUUGGUUUUAUGCCAUCUUUGUUUUCGAAUAUAUCUAUCCCUCCUCCUAUAGCUAGUGACUUGUGCCUUGCAACAAAGAAUUAAAAAGGAGGGAGAAUACAAUUAAAAAGAUCCAAUCAACACAUCCACCAUGUCUGAAAGUACAUGCAAUAUUCCAUCCUGAGCAGGUCAUCUAGGUGGCACAGUGGAUAGAGUGCUAGGCAUGGAGUUGGGAGGACCUGGUUCAAAUUUGGCCUCGGACUCUUCCUGGCUGUGUGAGCCUAGAUAAGUCAUUUAACCCCAUUUGUCUAGCCCUUACCUUUUAUCAUAGAGUUGUCACUAAGACAGAAAGCAAGAGUUUAGAAAGAAAUGUUCCACACCCAGAAUCCCCUAAAACUACAAAGAAGAGGGAGAAGAGUAUCUUUUCACCUCUUCUUUAGGGCCAUUCUUGGUUAUUAUAAUUACACACUAUUCAGCUUUUGGAAAAAUAUUCAAUAUCAUCACCACCACCAUCAUCAGAUAUGUUAGGUGGCAGAGUGAAUCGAGUGUUGGGCUUGAAGCCAGGAAGACCUGAAUUCCAGUAUUUACUCAUUUGUGUAACCUUGCCUUGAGCAAGUCACUUAAUUUUUGCUCGCCUUUGUUUCCUUAACAGUAAAAUGAGAACAAUAAUUGCAAUGACCUCUGGGAUGGUUGUGAGAAUCAAAUGAGAUCAUAUUUGUUAGAGGGCUUAGCACAGCACCAAGUGCAUUGUGGGCACUUAAUGAAUUCUUAUUUCCUUCCUUCCUUCAUCAUCAAUAGGAAGAAUAUAUUGAAAGCAAUGAACACAGGCAAUAUCAGUCUUAAUGAAUGCUUUCAAAACUAUAAAAUGGACUAUAACUGACUUGAAAAAUAUGCUAAUAAAAGUUUACACAAUAUCAACAAAGCACAGGGCUCAUUAAUGUAAGGUAGCUCAUCUAUGGAAUAAUGAAUGCUACUUAUACAACAGGAAGAAGAGGAUGGAAAGAGAUUCUCAGAUCACAUGAUUAACUGGUCUCAAACCUAUGGAAGUACUUUCAGAAUGGAUAGAAAGGCAUCAUUUCAUCAAGCAACGGUGACAUACCCAGAAACUAUGUUGACAAAGAAGAGAGAAAUGAAUGACUGAGACAUGCAGAUAUGUUUUGGAGAACAGAACUAUUUGUGAUGGUAAUUUGGGACUAGAUUGUCACUGCCACAUUUUACAGAAGAGUUAUCCUUAAAAAUCUUGGACCUGGUGGUCAGUGCAGAUUAUACAAGGGAACAGAAAAUUUUGUGCAAUGCAUCCUUGAAGGAUGCAAAAAUUUGGCCUCUACCAAAUAACUAGGUGAUAAAUGUAAGUAUAAAUAAUAAAAGAAUGCAAGCAAGAUGUGACCCAGAAGUUAAAAUUAUAGAUCAGAAACUUUCUAUCUUUCAUGAACCAACAUGAAGACACAUCUAUCUGUGUGCUACAAAUUCAGCUGUCAAAAUAUUCUUGAGAAGUCAACUAAUAAGCAGAGCAUCAUUACAGAUAGAGCUAUUGUCUACCAUCAAUUGCAUAUGAAAUCAUUAAAAAUGAAUGAUUUUUGUUAGAUAUCAUCAUAUAAGUACUUCUAAUCACAAAUUCUCAAAGCCACAUACAAUGAAAAUCUUUCAAAAUAUAGAUGCAAUAGAAAAAAAAAUCAGAAUCUCUUCAUCCUUCAUCCUGUCUGCUAUUGGACUUGCAUUAAGGAUGCUUUCACUGAGCCUACAACCUAACACUUUUAUUUGAUUACAAAAAACCAGCCAUUUUUUUCCUUCCAUAAGAAUCUAGAAAUUAUUCAAUAUAAAUGAAUGUUAAUAUAAGAAUGAUAAAUCCUGAGACUUUUUCCAUAUAAGUUCCAUUGGGUAAGAUGAAGACAAGAUAAUGAUAAUAACAUUAACAACAGCAAUAUCUUUAUAUAGUAUUUGGACUUGGUCAACUAAAGUUCUCUUCUGUUGCCCCCAUUAAUGCAGAGAGGUGACUCUGGCUUCUUGAAUAAUAUAUCAGGGGAACAUAGCUUGGGGCAGGUUUUAUCAAGUUGUCAGUUGGAGUACAGAGUCAGAGACUCCAAAUUACUUUGGGUUUUGGGGCUUCCAAAGCAUCUGCCCUAAUUAGCAGAAGUUGUUGUUGCUCUUGUUUAGUCAUUUUUCAGUCAUGUCCAACUCUUUGUGACCCCGUUUGGGGUUUUCUUGGGAGACACACUGUAGUGGUUUGAAAUUUCCUUCUCUAGUUUGCUUCACAGAUGAGGGAUUGAGGCAAAUAGGAGUUGUGACUUGUUCAGAGUGAUAUACCUAGUAAGUGUCUGAGGCCAGAUUUGAACUCAGGAAGAUGAGUCUUCGUGGCUCUGGGCCUCUCUCCAUUAUGCCACGUAGCUGCCUCAUUAGCAGAACUAGUGUAGGGUUAAACACUGGAUAAUACCAAAACAAUUAAUUUGGAUGUCUUCUUGGCUGAGUUAUUUGACUGUGACAUUUUUUAGCAACCAGAUAUGGUGGAAAGGCAAGACUAAGCCAGUCUGGGAUGAGAUAUUUUCUGGAGAUAUCCAUGAAAUCAACUAGUGAAGACCUAAUGGAGUGAGCCUGUAAUUUGAAUGGCUCCAUUGCGGAUGUGAAGAAGUAGAGCCUCAUCUUUGACUUUGUGAUGGCUUUUGGAUGUAACUAGAGAACUUUGGAAAGGGGACAUAAAUUAAUAAUUUUCCACAGGAGAGUAGGACUGAAUGGACAGCUCCAGCUACAGAUUCUAAAAUUUCUGGUGUUGAACAGUGGCCUAAUAAAAAUAGUUAUCAUCUCUGCAGCCUGUGGUUCUCAAUUCACUAAGUAUUAAUUAGAGGCCUAGGAGCUAAUUGUCUCAAAUAUAUAGAACAAUCUAGGAACAGCUUAUUUAUGGAGCAUCAUAGAGAAAGAAAGGAAUUCUUGAGCUUUUGCAUUUCCCAGAUAAUCAAAAUUUACCCCACACCUUUUUAGUGCCAAAAAUUAUUUAAAAGUGGAUUUGAUAUGUAUAGCUACAUUUUUUUGUGGUGGCAAAAAUUGGAAUUUUUUUUCCAAAUUCCAAAUUCCAAAAAAUUGAGAGGUGUCCUUGGAUUAGGGAAUGGCUAAACAAAUUAUGGUAUAUGAUGGUGAUGGAUGGUGCUAUAAGGAAUGAUCUACAUGAACUGAUUCAGAGUGAAAUAAGCAGAACCAGAAGAACAUUAUUUUUAGUAAGUGAAACAUUGUGGGAUGAUCAAAUAUUAUAGACUUUUCUACUAAUAGCAAUGCAACAAUCCAGGACAAUCCUGAGGGACUUAUGAAAAGGAAUGCUAUCUGCAUCGAGAGAAAGAACUGUGGGAGUAGAAGAAGAAAACAUAUGAUUAUAUGGUUAUAUGAUUUGAGGUUUUGGUCUUAUAAUAGUAUUCACUUAAAAAAAAUGAAUGGAAACAGGUUUUGAGUGAUAUUGCAUAUA